AGAGUUUGAUCAUGGCUCAGAAUCAACGCUGGCGGCGUGCCUAACACAUGCAAGUCGAACGCGAAAGUGGAGCAAUCCAUGAGUAGAGUGGCAAACGGGUGAGUAACGCGUGGGCGACCUACCUCUGAGUGGGGGAUAACCUUCCGAAAGGAGGGCUAAUACCGCAUGACAUCCCGUGUUUGGAUACACGGACAUCAAAGCCGGGGAUCGCAAGACCUGGCGCUUGGAGAGGGGCCCGCGUCCGAUUAGCUAGUUGGUGAGGUAACGGCUCACCAAGGCUCCGAUCGGUAUCCGGCCUGAGAGGGCGGACGGACACACUGGAACUGAGACACGGUCCAGACUCCUACGGGAGGCAGCAGUGGGGAAUUGUUCACAAUGGGCGCAAGCCUGAUGACGCAACGCCGCGUGGAGGAUGAAGACUUUCGGGUCGUAAACUCCUUUCGACCGAGAUGAAUUUCCCGCGACCUAACACGUCGCGGGAGUGACAGUAUCGAGGGAAGAAGCCCCGGCUAACUCUGUGCCAGCAGCCGCGGUAAUACAGGGGGGGCGAGCGUUGUUCGGAAUUACUGGGCGUAAAGGGUUCGUAGGUGGCCACUUAAGUCAGACGUGAAAUCCCUCAGCUUAACUGGGGAACUGCGUCUGAUACUGCGUGGCUUGAGUGCAGGAGAGGAAUGCGGAAUUCCAGGUGUAGCGGUGAAAU
RNAcentral lists this ribosomal RNA (700 nucleotides) under uncultured bacterium. RNAcentral describes it as "bacterial SSU rRNA". It matches the Rfam family "Bacterial small subunit ribosomal RNA", at positions 8 to 687 of the family's 1533-position model. The record is from RNAcentral.